Molecule: ribosomal RNA, 497 nt
Filed under: uncultured bacterium
Lineage: Bacteria
Description: partial 16S ribosomal RNA
Rfam family: Bacterial small subunit ribosomal RNA
Source: RNAcentral
GAUGAACGCUGGCGGCGUGCCUAAUACAUGCAAGUCGAGCGAACAGACGAGGAGCUUGCCCCUCUGACGUUAGCGGCGGACGGGUGAGUAACACGUGGAUAACCUACCUAUAAGACUGGGAUAACUUCGGGAAACCGGAGCUAAUACCGGAUAAUAUAUUGAACCGCAUGGUUCAAUAGUGAAAGACGGUUUUGCUGUCACUUAUAGAUGGAUCCGCGCCGCAUUAGCUAGUUGGUAAGGUAACGGCUUACCAAGGCAACGAUGCGUAGCCGACCUGAGAGGGUGAUCGGCCACACUGGAACUGAGACACGGUCCAGACUCCUACGGGAGGCAGCAGUAGGGAAUCUUCCGCAAUGGGCGAAAGCCUGACGGAGCAACGCCGCGUGAGUGAUGAAGGUCUUCGGAUCGUAAAACUCUGUUAUUAGGGAAGAACAAAUGUGUAAGUAACUAUGCACGUCUUGACGGUACCUAAUCAGAAAGCCACGGCUAACUACGUG